UACGUAGGCAGCAAGCGUUGUUCGGAGUUACUGGGCGUAAAGGGUGUGUAGGCGGUUCUUUAAGUUUGGUGUGAAAUCUCCCGGCUCAACCGGGAGGGUGCGCCGAAUACUGAGGGACUAGAGUGCGGGAGAGGAAAGUGGAAUUCCUGGUGUAGCGGUGAAAUGCGUAGAUAUCAGGAGGAAUACCGAUGGCGAAGGCAGGUCUCUGGGCUGACACUGACGCUGAGGCACGAAGGCCAGGGGAGCAAACGGG
Molecule: ribosomal RNA, 253 nt
Filed under: uncultured bacterium
Lineage: Bacteria
Description: partial 16S ribosomal RNA
Rfam family: Bacterial small subunit ribosomal RNA
Source: RNAcentral